Molecule: ribosomal RNA, 498 nt
Filed under: uncultured bacterium
Lineage: Bacteria
Description: bacterial SSU rRNA
Rfam family: Bacterial small subunit ribosomal RNA
Source: RNAcentral
AGAGUUUGAUCCUGGCUCAGAAUGAACGUUGGCGGCGUGGAUUAGGCAUGCAAGUCGUACGGGCCGCAAGGCCAGUGGCGCAAGGGUGAGUAAGGCGACGGUAACCAACCCCAUGGGUGGGUAUAGCCGCGGGAAACCGCGGGUAAUCCCCAGCGACGCACGGCCCCGGCAUCGGGGCCUUGCCAAAGCCCAGGCGCCGUGGGACGGGCCGUCGUGGUAUUAGGUAGUUGGCGGGGUAACGGCCCACCAAGCCGACGAUGCCUACCGGGCGUGCGAGCGUGGCCCGGCACACUGGGACUGAGACACUGCCCAGACUCCUACGGGAGGCUGCAGUCGAGAAUCUUCGGCAAUGGGCGCAAGCCUGACCGAGCGACGCCGCGUGGAGGACGAAGGCCUUCGGGUUGUAAACUCCUGUCGAGGGGGAAGAAGGGCCGAAAGGCCUUGACUGAUCCCUGGAGGAAGCACGGGCUAAGUUCGUGCCAGCAGCCGCGGUAAUUC